UACGGAGGGAGCUAGCGUUGUUCGGAAUUACUGGGCGUAAAGCGCACGUAGACGGCUUUGUAAGUUAGAGGUGAAAGCCCGGGGCUCAACCCCGGAAUUGCCUUUAAGACUGCAUCGCUUGAAUCCGGGAGAGGUGAGUGGAAUUCCGAGCGUAGAGGUGAAAUUCGUAGAUAUUCGGAAGAACACCAGUGGCGAAGGCGGCUCACUGGACCGGUAUUGACGCUGAGGUGCGAAAGCGUGGGGAGCAAACAGG
RNAcentral lists this ribosomal RNA (253 nucleotides) under uncultured bacterium. RNAcentral describes it as "partial 16S ribosomal RNA". It matches the Rfam family "Bacterial small subunit ribosomal RNA", at positions 524 to 776 of the family's 1533-position model. The record is from RNAcentral.